UUAAACUGAAGAGUUUGAUCAUGGCUCAGAUUGAACGCUGGCGGCAGGCUUAACACAUGCAAGUCGAGCGGUAACAGGGGGAGCUUGCUCCCUGCUGACGAGCGGCGGACGGGUGAGUAAUGCAUAGGAAUCUGCCCAGUAGUGGGGGAU
RNAcentral lists this ribosomal RNA (150 nucleotides) under Marinobacter gudaonensis. Its description in RNAcentral is "partial 16S rRNA. Bacterial SSU". It matches the Rfam family "Bacterial small subunit ribosomal RNA", at positions 1 to 144 of the family's 1533-position model. Lineage: Bacteria; Pseudomonadati; Pseudomonadota; Gammaproteobacteria; Pseudomonadales; Marinobacteraceae. The record is from RNAcentral.